UCACCCGCUGAAUUUAAGCAUAUUAUUAAGCGGAGGAAAAGAAACUAACCAGGAUUCCCCUAGUAACGGCGAGCGAA
Molecule: ribosomal RNA, 77 nt
Filed under: Solenopsis invicta (red fire ant)
Lineage: Eukaryota; Metazoa; Arthropoda; Insecta; Hymenoptera; Formicidae
Also listed under: 1 other name
Description: partial 28S ribosomal RNA
Rfam family: Eukaryotic large subunit ribosomal RNA
Source: RNAcentral